CCUGAGUGUGGUGGCGCACACCUGUAAUCCCAGCAGCUCGGGAGGCUGAGGCAGGAGGAUCAUGAGUUCAAAGCCAGCCUCAGCAACUUUGCAAGACCCUAAUCAACUCAGCAAGACCCUGUCUCUA
RNAcentral lists this small RNA (127 nucleotides) under Marmota monax (woodchuck). Lineage: Eukaryota; Metazoa; Chordata; Mammalia; Rodentia; Sciuridae. The record is from RNAcentral.